UACAGAGGUGGCAAGCGCUGUUCGGAUUUAUUGGGCGUAAAGGGUCCGUAGGCGGCCGAGAAAGUCGGAUGUGAAAUCCCACAGCUUAACUGUGGAACUGCAUUCGAAACUUCUUGGCUCGAGUGUCAUAGGGGUAAAGGGAAUUCCCGGUGUAAGGGUGAAAUCUGCAGAGAUCGGGAGGAACACCGGUCGCGAAGGCGCUUUACUGGAUCACUACUGACGCUGAGGGACGAAAGCCAGGGGAG
Molecule: ribosomal RNA, 245 nt
Filed under: uncultured bacterium
Lineage: Bacteria
Description: partial 16S ribosomal RNA
Rfam family: Bacterial small subunit ribosomal RNA
Source: RNAcentral